Molecule: ribosomal RNA, 461 nt
Filed under: uncultured bacterium
Lineage: Bacteria
Description: partial 16S ribosomal RNA
Rfam family: Bacterial small subunit ribosomal RNA
Source: RNAcentral
CCUACGGGUGGCAGCAGUGAGGAAUAUUGGUCAAUGGGCUUACGCCUGAACCAGCCAAGUCGCGUGAGGGAAGACUGCCCUAUGGGUUGUAAACCUCUUUUGUCAGGGAGCAAUUGGCGCUACGUGUAGCGUUAUCGAGAGUACCUGACCAAGAAGCCCCGGCUAACUACGUGCCAGCAGCCGCGGUAAUACGUAGGGGGCAAGCGUUAUCCGGAUUUACUGGGUGUAAAGGGGGCGCAGACGGCAAUGCAAGCCAGGAGUGAAAGUCCGGGGCCCAACCCCGGGACUGCUCUUGGAACUGCAUGGCUGGAGUACAGGAGGGGCAGGCGGAAUUCCUAGUGUAGCGGUGAAAUGCGUAGAUAUUAGGAGGAACACCGGUGGCGAAGGCGGCCUGCUGGACUGUGACUGACGUUGAGGCCCGAAGGCGUGGGGAGCAAACAGGAUUAGAUACCCUUGUAGUC